Molecule: ribosomal RNA, 446 nt
Filed under: uncultured bacterium
Lineage: Bacteria
Description: SSU rRNA
Rfam family: Bacterial small subunit ribosomal RNA
Source: RNAcentral
AGAGCGAACGCUGGCGGCAGGCCUAACACAUGCAAGUCGAGCGCCCGUAGCAAUACGGGAGCGGCAGACGGGAUAGUAACACGUGGGAACGCGCCCUUCGGUUCGGAAUAACUCAGGGAAACUUGAGCUAAUACCGGAUACGCCCUUACGGGGAAAGAUUUAUUGCCGAAGGAACGGCCCGCGUCCGAUUAGCUAGUUGGUGAGGUAAUGGCUCACCAAGGCUCCGAUCGGUAGCUGGUCUGAGAGGAUGACCAGCAUCACUGGGACUGAGACACGGCCCAGACUCCUACGGGAGGCAGCAGUGGGGAAUAUUGGACAAUGGGCGCAAGCCUGAUCCAGCCAUGCCGCGUGGAUGAUGAAGGCCUUAGGGUUGUAAAGUCCUUUUAACGGGAAGAUAAUGACGGUACCCGUAGAAUAAGCCCGGCUAACUUCGCGCCAGCAGCCGC